This 413-nucleotide unclassified non-coding RNA is filed under the name soil metagenome. Its description in RNAcentral is "partial contains 5.8S ribosomal RNA, internal transcribed spacer 2, and large subunit ribosomal RNA". The stretch from base 1 to 120 matches the Rfam family "5.8S ribosomal RNA", at positions 35 to 154 of the family's 154-position model. The record is from RNAcentral.
GAUGAAGAACGUAGCGAAAUGCGAUAAGUAAUGUGAAUUGCAGAAUUCAGUGAAUCAUCGAAUCUUUGAACGCACCUUGCGCUCUUUGGUAUUCCGAAGAGCAUGCCUUUUUGAGUGUCAUGAAAAUAUCAACCUUGACUUGGGUUUUGUGCUCUAGUCUCGGCUUGGAAUUGGGUGCUUGCCGCUUUUACGAGCGGCUCACCUUAAAUGUAUUAGCUGGAUCUGUCUUUGAGACUUGGUUUGACUUGGCGUAAUAAGUAUUUCGCUAAGGACAUUCUUCGGAGUGGCCUCGUUUCUAGGACGCUUGUCCGCUUUCCAAUACAAGUUCCACCUCGUGGACAUGACUUUUUAUUAUCUGGCCUCAAAUCAGGUAGGACUACCCGCUGAACUUAAGCAUAUCAAUAAGCGGAGGA